This 467-nucleotide ribosomal RNA is filed under the name uncultured bacterium. RNAcentral's name for it is "partial 16S ribosomal RNA". It matches the Rfam family "Bacterial small subunit ribosomal RNA", at positions 28 to 507 of the family's 1533-position model. The record is from RNAcentral.
GAUGAACGCUGGCGGCGUGCUUAACACAUGCAAGUCGAACGAUGAUGCCCAGCUUGCUGUGUUGAUUAGUGGCCAACGGGUGAGUAACACGUGAGUAACCUGCCCUUCACUCUGGGUUAAACCUGUGCAACUGGCUCUAAUACCGGCUACGACCUUCUGUCGCCUGUAUUGGUCGUGGAAAGCUUUUGUGGUUUUGGAUGGACUCGCGGCCUAUCAGCUUGUUGGUGGGGUAAUGGCCUACCAAGGCGACGACGGGUAGCCGGCCUGAGAGGGUGACCGGGCACACUGGGACUGAGACACGGCCCAGACUCCUACGGGAGGCAGAAGUGGGGAAUAUUGCAAAAUGGGCGCAAGCCUGAGGCAGCGACGCCGCGUGAGGGAUGACGGCCUUCGGGUUGUAAACCUCUUUCAGUAGGGAAGAAGCGAAAGUGACGGUACCUGCAGAAGAAGCGCCGGCUAACUACGUG